This 63-nucleotide transfer RNA is filed under the name Daphnia tibetana. RNAcentral's name for it is "tRNA-His". Lineage: Eukaryota; Metazoa; Arthropoda; Branchiopoda; Diplostraca; Daphniidae. The record is from RNAcentral.
GUUGCUAUAGUUUAAACAAAACGCAGGUUUGUGGUGCCUGUAAUGUAGUAUCUACUAGUAACC